RNAcentral lists this ribosomal RNA (253 nucleotides) under uncultured bacterium. Its description in RNAcentral is "partial 16S ribosomal RNA". It matches the Rfam family "Bacterial small subunit ribosomal RNA", at positions 524 to 776 of the family's 1533-position model. The record is from RNAcentral.
UACGGAGGGUGCAAGCGUUAUCCGGAUUCACUGGGUUUAAAGGGCGCGUAGGCGGGUCACCAAGUCCGGGGUGAAAUCUUCCGGCUCAACCGGAAAAGUGCCUUGGAUACUGGUGGUCUGGAGGGAGGUAGGGGCACGCGGAACUUCCGGUGGAGCGGUGAAAUGCGUAGAUAUCGGAAGGAACGCCGGUGGCGAAAGCGGCGUGCUGGACCUCUUCUGACGCUGAGGCGCGAAAGCCAGGGGAGCAAACAGG